AACCCCUGGCAGUGGGUAGAGACAUCUUGUUGGUGAUGUUCUUACAUCAGUCCGGGACAAAGUAGAUAGCAGUCCUUUGUUUAUCCUAACUUGAUGUCUGACUUGGUGGCCAAAGCUGUCUUAUGCUUAGGACACAUAA
Small nucleolar RNA from Psammomys obesus (fat sand rat), 139 nucleotides. RefSeq annotates it as small nucleolar RNA SNORA48. The transcript has a single exon. Lineage: Eukaryota; Metazoa; Chordata; Mammalia; Rodentia; Muridae. The record is from RefSeq and is a predicted model, not a curated record.